GACGAACGCUGGCGGCGUGCUUAACACAUGCAAGUCGAACGCUGAAGCUUGGUGCUUGCACUGGGUGGAUGAGUGGCGAACGGGUGAGUAAUACGUGCGUACCCUGCCCUUGACUCUGGGAUAAGCCUGGGAAACUGGGUCUGAUACUGGAUACGACAUGCCACUGCAUGGUGGUGUGUGGAAGGGGUUUUACUGGUUUUGGAUGGGCUCACGGCCUAUCAGCUUGUUGGUGGGGUAAUGGCCUACCAAGGCGACGACGGGUAGCCGGCCUGAGAGGGUGACCGGCCACACUGGGACUGAGACACGGCCCAGACUCCUACGGGAGGCAGCAGUGGGGAAUAUUGCACAAUGGGCGGAAGCCUGAUGCAGCGACGCCGCGUGAGGGAUGACGGCCUUCGGGUUGUAAACCUCUUUCAGCACGGAAGAAGCGAGAGUGACGGUACGUGCAGAAGAAGCGCCGGCUAACUACGUG
RNAcentral lists this ribosomal RNA (472 nucleotides) under uncultured bacterium. RNAcentral's name for it is "partial 16S ribosomal RNA". It matches the Rfam family "Bacterial small subunit ribosomal RNA", at positions 28 to 507 of the family's 1533-position model. The record is from RNAcentral.